GGGCGGUUAGCUCAGUUGGUUAGAGCGACUGUUUUACACACAGUAGGCCGGGGGUUCGAAUCCCUCACCGCCCACAA
RNAcentral lists this transfer RNA (77 nucleotides) under Holosporales bacterium. RNAcentral's name for it is "tRNA-Val". It matches the Rfam family "tRNA". From Rfam's summary of the family: Transfer RNA (tRNA) molecules are approximately 80 nucleotides in length. Their secondary structure includes four short double-helical elements and three loops (D, anti-codon, and T loops). The record is from RNAcentral. Lineage: Bacteria; Pseudomonadati; Pseudomonadota; Alphaproteobacteria; Holosporales.